GAUGAACGCUGGCGGCGUGCCUAAUACAUGCAAGUCGAGCGAACAGACGAGGAGCUUGCUCCUCUGACGUUAGCGGCGGACGGGUGAGUAACACGUGGAUAACCUACCUAUAAGACUGGGAUAACUUCGGGAAACCGGAGCUAAUACCGGAUAAUAUAUUGAACCGCAUGGUUCAAUAGUGAAAGACGGUUUUGCUGUCACUUAUAGAUGGAUCCGCGCCGCAUUAGCUAGUUGGUAAGGUAACGGCUUACCAAGGCAACGAUGCGUAGCCGACCUGAGAGGGGGAUCGGCCACACUGGAACUGAGACACGGUCCAGACUCCUACGGGAGGCAGCAGUAGGGAAGCUUCCGCAAUGGGCGAAAGCCUGACGGAGCAACGCCGCGUGAGGGAUGAAGGUCUUCGGAUCGUAAAACUCUGUUAUUAGGGAAGAACAAAUGUGUAAGUAACUAUGCACGUCUUGACGGUACCUAAUCAGAAAGCCACGGCUAACUACGUG
This 497-nucleotide ribosomal RNA is filed under the name uncultured bacterium. RNAcentral's name for it is "partial 16S ribosomal RNA". It matches the Rfam family "Bacterial small subunit ribosomal RNA", at positions 28 to 507 of the family's 1533-position model. The record is from RNAcentral.